UGGGGAAUAUUGCACAAUGGGCGGAAGCCUGAUGCAGCAACGCCGCGUGCGGGAUGACGGCCUUCGGGUUGUAAACCGCUUUCGCCUGUGACGAAGCGUGAGUGACGGUAAUGGGUAAAGAAGCACCGGCUAACUACGUGCCAG
This 144-nucleotide ribosomal RNA is filed under the name uncultured bacterium. RNAcentral describes it as "partial 16S ribosomal RNA". It matches the Rfam family "Bacterial small subunit ribosomal RNA", at positions 355 to 511 of the family's 1533-position model. The record is from RNAcentral.